AGAUAGAGCAUAGGGGUUUUUAGAUAGGGGUUAGAUGGGAGGAGGGAGCUGGGCUUUGUCUGGGCUUGCUUUUUGAAAACUACAAAGAGGAGAGAGCACAUGAAAACUGAAGUCCAGAAUUGCUAAUCUAGGCCAGGUAAGAUUUGUCAAGGGAGCUCGCUGUUCCUUGUAGUUUAUCAAGUCUUUCAGUGUCCCUCUACAACCACAACCUGCAAUUGCUGGUGUUUCCCAGACAAACUCUCUUCGUUCCUGGGAAAAGAUUUUGAUUGACCCAAGCUGGGUUAAGUGCUCAUCCUUCAAUCAAAGAUGCUGAUGUCAUUGGAUCUUGCUUCUGCAGCAUCAUAUACUAGAAGAAGAACUCAAGAAGGAAAGGGAAAUCUUCGUCCAGACCUCAACUUUAGCUUCCUUUUUUCCUUUCUUUGUUUCCAUGUCGGUCGUGUGGCAACCAUAGAAAGAUGUUUUGGAGCUCACUGUGGGGUUCCUGAAAAUGUGAGGAAGCUCUCACAAACCUCAAGGCCUCCUCUGUAGUCUCUUCAUAUUCAGAAGCCAAAAAGGUCCCUUUGUUUCCUCCAGUUCUUCAGAAAAUGGGAGCCUAAACCCAGACAAAUCUAUAAGAUUUCUCUACUGUGAGACUUUAUACAUCUCAGUAGCAUCUGUGAAGAAACCAGAAUCUUGAACGUAACAGCAAAGGAAGAGGGAGGAUCCAUGGGGAGCAGCAAUGAUGUGGAGUAAAGACCAUCCAGGCAAGAAGUAGAGGAUCUUGGGUGUGACUUCUGGCUCUUUUCUUUUUCAUCUGACUAACCCUGGACAAGCCAAGGAACCUACCUGGAGCUCACUCCUUGGUAUAGAAGGAACAGGCUCAAUUAGGGUACCUCUAAUGUCUUUUCCAGGCCAGGAAGUAGUAGUCACUAAUAUGGCACACAAUGGCCAUUGUCAUGGAGCCACCAUCUCCAUCUGUCAGAGGUGUGGUUUUCAACCCAAACUUCUGUGUAUUUAGAGCAAUCACAUUUAGCUUCAGUUUCCCAUUUUCCUUUUCUGCUUGUGAUUCCCUCUAGUUAUUUCUAUCCUUUCAUUUAAAAAAUCAGAAAUCUUGCGUUAGAAGGGGAUUGAGGAAGUUAGGCCUCAUUCACUUCAGCUUCCAGCGGGAGUCACCCAGGUGGAGCAGCUAGAGGCCUCCCACUGGCCUCUAGCAGUGACGGAAGCAAGAGCCCAAGGAAGACAUAAAGGCUGGGGGGUGGAGUGGGGGAGGGGAGGGUGUUAUGGGGACCAUUAAGUACCCAACAGGAGGCCAGUUCCCUCUGUGGUUCUCAAAGUGCUGUCCCCAAAACAGCAGCACCAACAUCACCAGGAACUUGUUCGAAAUACAAAUUCUUGAGUCCCACUCUAGACCCACUGGAUUAGAAGCCAGGGAGGAGCUGGCAGCCAUGUGUUUUAAGAAGCCCUGGAGGUGAUUCUGAAGCUAGUCAAGUUUGAGAGCCACUGAGCUGCAAGCAGGUGAUCCAAGGGAGCGAGGAGCCACUAUCUUUUUGUGUUAAAGUAGAAAGUGAAGUUUCCAUAAAUGAAAAUUUUCCACUCUCUAGUUUUUAGUCAUCUUUAAAAUUUUUCCUUUAGAUCUUAGUAAUAUAAACAUUGCUCAUUUUCACAUGGGAGGAAAACAAUUCUGCAGUCAAAUUUGCUGAUUACUAAAUGAAGGGAACUCUGCACCAAGCUGCCUAAUUAAGUCUCUGUAAUAAUCAAGGCAGGCAGGUCAAGGGCAAUAAAUUUCAGACUUGUCUUGGCUGGUUCUGCUGUCUUUACUGAUCACCAAAACCAAGCAAUCAGCAAUCAUUUCCUUAUUUUUUGCUGUGUAGACAUGGCUGAAUAGUUCAUAAAGUAUGCCUAAUCUAUACCAGAAAGGUUAUUUACUCGAGUCCAUAUACAAGGAAACUAAGUAACUUCUUCAGGACUACACUGUCACAAAUGGGCAAGAUCCAAACUCCAAGGUUCUGAGGCUAAACUUGCAAAGUGUCAAGUUCAACUUUUUCUUUCUCUUUUAAUUCUUUCCCUCCUUAUGAACUAUGGCAAACUUAGAACUUUAUCUUUUUCUAUUCAUGAAGCAUUCACGAUAUUUGUCCUGAAAACGUAUUAUGUUUUUAAUAAGAGGAAAACUAAGGUUGAAUGCAAACAAUUUGAUAACAACCCACUUUGUAGUUAACCCAUUUUGUUCCUUAGACCACUGCCAGUUGUAUAAGCUUACAAUUGGGUUUCCCUUCAAUGCUUUUCUCAGAGUCACUUUCCGUCAGGAACUUAUUUAUCAUAGCCUAACUAUAGAAGCCACUAUGCAAUUGUGACUUUCCAAUAACUCCAGUACUGGUCUCCCCCCGUUCCAUGUGACACUAUGGAGGUAGACUCCAGUGAAAAUACACCAAGGAUUUUUUUCCUAACCCAAACUAGCCAAUUCUCUAUGAAAGUUCAUUUACUGUGAUUUUUUGAAAAAAAUUUUAAUUGAAGUAUAGAUGGCUUACGAUAUUAUAUUAGUUUCAGGUGUCCAACAUAAUCGAUUUUUUUAUAAAUUAUUCUCCAUAUGAUUUAUAUGUGAUUUAUAAAUCACUGUUUGCUGUGAUUUAUGUUUUGGAUAUUAUAAUUAUGCCUUCAUGUUCUUCUUAUCUUACGUCUAAAAUGACCUUGUUUCAAGUAUUUUGAUUCCCUUGGUAAAGUGAUUAGCAAAGAUUAACCCAAAAGGCUGUUGAGUUGCCACACACCCAGGAUUUAAAUAAUACAAUUUAAAACAACUUUAUUUUAUAUUGUUGCCCCCACUUUCCUACUGGGCCGGCUUAUACAUCACAUUUACAAUAUUUUCUGGCCUAGAUCAGAUGUUGAAUUUCAAGUCCUCUGAAUUCUUGACCAGGUCAUUAUUUGGAAGCUCACAGCAUCUUUCUUCUCCUGGGCUUGUUGAUCAGAUCUCGUUGGAAGCGGAAGUCUGCCUCAAGCUAGCAUGCUCUCUUCCAAAACCCAGAUGCACGCUGACCCAAGACCUAAUGAAAGUGUAUGCCUGCAGAAGCAAAGAACUGCCCUCGAGGUGUACACCCUCUUCCGGCUUUGCAACCAAAGAUCUGGGGAAGGUCAUUAAUUGCCUUUUCUCAAACAAGUGAGAGAGCGAGCCACUGUGUCCUAUGAUAUUACCAAGGGAGGACAGAUGUAAGAAAAGCCUUUUUUUUUUUUCAUUCUUUUUAUUAGUUGUAACACUGAAUUAGCCCACUAAUUCGCACCUCGUGGCAGGUGUAAUCGUUCUUGUGAACAUUUCUUAAGAAUCUCCAACCUUUCCCAACACAGGCUACAUGAUUUAAUUCAAGCAAUGAUGUGACACUCAGCACAACCUCAAUGCUCUGAAAUGUCUUGGUACAAACUGUAGCUAAACUAAUCAAACCACACCAUAAAAGCAAGUCUGAGCUACCGAUGAUGAGAGAGCUAAUGCUUAUUGAACAUUUGGGUGGGGGCAGGUCCAGACCUAAACGUUUCCCAUGUAUUCAUUUGGACUUAACAACAUAAUGACACUCUACAGUUGAGGACAGUGAAACCCAGAAAAGUUAACUUGACCAAGGUCACACUGGGGGUGAGUGGCCAGGCCGGUUAACAAGAGCUCCAAUGUAUGCAAAGAUCUUCCCCUCCCUCAUCCUUUAAUUCCACUGCCUCCCACUCACCCUCCAUCCCACCCUCAACCCCAUGCCUUUUAUACUGUGGGGUUAGCCUGGAACCCUGGUUGCCUUCAGGCUCCUUUGUUUCCCUGCCCAUGGCUGGAGUCACACAGAAAGCCUGAACAUCUGAUGCGCAUUGGUCAUGCCUCCUCCCUUUGGGGACCAAUUUCACACUGUGCUUAGUAAUGCGUGCAAGAGCAUUAUCUCCUGCUCAAGCAGCAGCCUCUAGGGUGGAGGUGUAGUCUGCCCGUGACUAAACUUGGGGAGAGCAAAACUUGGGACAACUGAGGCACCCUAGCAUGUAGGAGCAACUUAAUUCCACAAAUGCUUACACUAAAGAUGAGUCAAGAUAAAAUGAAUAUAUUUGGACUUGUGUUUCAGUCUGGUGAUUUUUCUGUCACACUGCCCCUCCCUUCCAGCCUUUCUCCCGCUGAGGCCCUCAUGGUGGAGAGUUGCCCAGCCCACACCCAAGCCAAGGCAGCCUGGCAGAGCCCUCCCAGGGCACCAGGUACCAUUUCUAAUAAAGACGGGUAGCUACUGCUCCUUCGUCUUUCCCCUUAUCUGGGUGAAUCAGAAGUCCAGGUGACCUGCCGGGUCUCCUGUGGUAUUAAUUAAUUAUCAUUAGCUUCCAAAGCCUGCAGGAUCAAAAAGAGCCUCUUCAUGAAUAGCAAACAUACGAUCCUCCUCGACUCCCCGCCCCACCAAAUACUUGUGUCAAAAGCAACAGGAGUUAGCAAUUGUUUUAUUCAGCAUUUGUCUAGCUGAGACCAUCCUGGGUCUGCCUUAUCUCAGCCAGCGUCCAAGCCCAUGGAGGAGUUAGUUUAAGGCCGCAACAGGACCAGGGGAGGUCUUUGCCCCAUAUGACUUGGACUAUACCAAGGUAAUUAACCAAAAUUUAUUUGAGGAUUGUUUACUAACAUCUAGGAGUUAGCUUGCUCAGGGAAAGCUUUAACUGUGAAAAGAAAUGCAAAGCCAGGCUCCUGGUAUAGCUGAACUGUGGCCUAAAUAACUUCCCUUCAUUCCAUAGUCACCACAGAUCUAUGGCACCUGCCAGGUGCCAGGCCCUGAGCAUGCAGAGGUGCCGCAAAGAUUCCUGUCCCGGGGAGACUUGACAAUGGCUUCUCCUGGGAGAUUCUUGGAUAUCAACUAUUUACUUUCAAAAGAUUCAGUGGGAAUUAGUUUAAUAUAAGAAAUAUUCAUGACAGCCGGUUCGGGGGCAACUCUUCCAAACACGCUGUAACAAAAUUGGCAAUUUUAGCUAAAUCACACUCUGUUCUUCAGACAUUUGACUCAGAUUUUUCUUUACUACAGUAAAUCUGUGUUUGGAAUGUGGAAACUUAUAGGGACCAGCUACUCUAGCUCAAUCUCCAAGACAGGUUUUCAGACUGGACUACAUUUUCUAGGAGAAGAACCCCUUAAAUGUUUUUAUUCAAUUAGGACAGUAAUGACAGCCAACCUGAAUAUUUUAGUGGAAGCCUUUCUAGGCUUUUAUAUUGGGAUAAUCAAUGGAAAUAAUAGGAAUGCUCUUAAAAGUUUUUCUAAGACUUAAUUAGACACUAGACAUGGUCUCAUUCUGAGUGACUUAAUAUAUUGGGUGUUUUAUGACUCAUCCUUCAUGGUAACCAAUAAAUACCUAUCCCAUGUUCAUUAUAUAUCAUGCACUAAACACUUUUUCACUUAAGAUCUUCCCACAUUUGUAAAUUUUAUACAUUUUUAAUGCUGCUAUUUCUCUGGGUGCCUUAUGGAAGUUGUGCCUUGAGGUAUAUUUUUCUGCUACAUCACUAGAAUUCGUGUUACCAACAAGUCACUGUACAUUAUACACCCUUAAAUAAAUAUAUUAAUUUUCUAUCAGGAGUUAAUGUCAUGGCUCAGUGGUUAACGAAUCUGGCUAGGAACCGUGAAGUUGCAGCUCUGGCCUUGCUCAGUGGGUUAAGGAUCCGGCGUUGCUGUGAGCUGUGGUGUAGGUUGCAGGCACGGCUUGGAUCCCUCGUUGCUGUGGCUCUGGCGUAGGCCGGUGGCUACGGCUCCGAUUAGACCCCUAGCCUGGGAACCUCCAUAUGCCCCAGGAGUGGCCCUAGAAAAG
Molecule: long non-coding RNA, 5757 nt
Filed under: Sus scrofa (pig)
Lineage: Eukaryota; Metazoa; Chordata; Mammalia; Artiodactyla; Suidae
Description: lncRNA (ENSSSCG00000059383.1, ENSSSCG00105007993.1, ENSSSCG00130023273.1)
Source: RNAcentral